RNAcentral lists this ribosomal RNA (458 nucleotides) under uncultured bacterium. RNAcentral's name for it is "bacterial SSU rRNA". It matches the Rfam family "Bacterial small subunit ribosomal RNA", at positions 340 to 789 of the family's 1533-position model. The record is from RNAcentral.
UACGGAAGGCAGCGGUGGGGAAUAUUGCACAAUGGGCGAAAGCCUGAUGCAGCUAUGCCGCGUGUAUGAAGAAGGCCUUAGGGUUGUAAAGUACUUUCAUCGGGGAGGAAAAACAAAACUAAUAAUUUUAUUUCUUGACGUUACCCGAAAAAGAAGCACCGGCUAACUCCGUGCCAGCAGCCGCGGUAAUACGGAGGGUGCUAGCGUUAAUCAGAAUUACUGGGCGUAAAGAGCACGUAGGUGGUUUUUUUAAGUCAGAUGUGAAAUCCCUGGGCUUAACCUAGGAACUGCAUUUUGAAACUGAAAUACUAGAGUAUCGUAGAGGGAGGUAGAAUUCUAGGUGUAGCGGUGAAAUGCGUAGAUAUCUGGAGGAAUACCUGUGGCGAAAGCGGCCUCCUAAACGAAUACUGACACUGAGGUGCGAAAGCGUGGGGAGCAAACAGGGAUUAGAUACCCGU